Molecule: small nuclear RNA, 165 nt
Organism: Dipodomys spectabilis (banner-tailed kangaroo rat)
Lineage: Eukaryota; Metazoa; Chordata; Mammalia; Rodentia; Heteromyidae
Product: U1 spliceosomal RNA
Exons: 1
Source: RefSeq, a predicted model, not a curated record
AUACUUACCUGGCAGGGGAAAUACCACGAUCACGUAGGUGGUUUUCUCAGGGUGAGGCCCACCCAUUUGCACUUGGGGUGCGCUGACCUCUGCGAUUUCUCCACAUAGGAGAAACUCGGCUGCAUAAUUUGUGGUAGUGGGGGACUGCGUGCGCGCUCUGCCCUG